GUGGAUGAACUUGGUGUUUAGACUCAGAAGUGGGACUUAAAACAUUUAAUACGAGGUGCAGGUUCGAUUCCUGUCAUCCACG
This 82-nucleotide transfer RNA is filed under the name Enterococcus avium. RNAcentral's name for it is "tRNA-Phe". Lineage: Bacteria; Bacillati; Bacillota; Bacilli; Lactobacillales; Enterococcaceae. The record is from RNAcentral.